Long non-coding RNA from Limanda limanda (common dab), 428 nucleotides. RefSeq lists it as uncharacterized. Lineage: Eukaryota; Metazoa; Chordata; Actinopteri; Pleuronectiformes; Pleuronectidae. The transcript has 3 exons. The record is from RefSeq and is a predicted model, not a curated record.
CACACACAAACAAAGAGGCGUUAGGCUGAGACGCUGAAAGUCCGGAUUUAAAGUGCAGAAAAUUAAGCCCUUGAAUCUGCCUGUCCAUGACGUACAAAGACACACUAUGAGCCAGUAUGAUCCGACCAGACCUUACAUCAGCAUUGAGGAGUUGUCGGAGAAGAAAGAGGCUGAUUGAAGCGGGACAGAUGACAUGGAUCCAUCCUUCCACAGCCAGGAGCGCACCGACCUGUGUCCCACACUUCAUAUAAGACUGGAAGCUACACUGAUCUCACAGCUACACACCACAGACGUCUACACACUGGAGAAGAUUCAGACAGAGUCCCACAAAGAAGUCAUGACCCAGAGGCUGCAGAGAAACAUUUCAAGCCUCAUCUGAGUUUUUGUACAAUAUUUUUGCUGUAUGUAAAUAAAGCUUUCACUCCACA